This 433-nucleotide ribosomal RNA is filed under the name uncultured bacterium. RNAcentral describes it as "partial 16S ribosomal RNA". It matches the Rfam family "Bacterial small subunit ribosomal RNA", at positions 29 to 507 of the family's 1533-position model. The record is from RNAcentral.
AACGAACGCUGGCGGCAUGCCUAACACAUGCAAGUCGAGCGAGACCUUCGGGUCUAGUGGCGCACGGGUGCGUAACGCGUGGGAACCUGCCCUUAGGUUCGGAAUAACUCCCCGAAAGGGGUGCUAAUACCGGAUAAUGUCUUCGGACCAAAGAUUUAUCGCCUUUGGAUGGGCCCGCGUUGGAUUAGCUAGUUGGUAGGGUAAAAGCCUACCAAGGCGACGAUCCAUAGCUGGUCUGAGAGGAUGAUCAGCCACACUGGGACUGAGACACGGCCCAGACUCCUACGGGAGGGAGCAGUGGGGAAUAUUGGACAAUGGGCGAAAGCCUGAUCCAGCAAUGCCGCGUGAGUGAUGAAGGCCUGAGGGUUGUAAAGCUCUUUUACCCGGGAUGAUAAUGACAGUACCGGGAGAAUAAGCUCCGGCUAACUCCGUG